AAUCUACAAUUCCUAAAAGGAGUGCUAAAACAAAGGCUAGGAAAAUAAAACAAGGAAAGGAAAAAUGCCACAGACUUAUCGAUAAAUUGGUCCCCGCUCCUUGGCUCAACAAGACUUCUGAAGACUCUUGCUUCCUGAAGAACUUAGAAGAAGCUAAUUUUAGCAAAAAUACUAAAAGAAGAAAAGCCAAAACUCUCAAGAAUACUCUCAAAAU
Molecule: long non-coding RNA, 214 nt
Filed under: Carica papaya (papaya)
Lineage: Eukaryota; Viridiplantae; Streptophyta; Magnoliopsida; Brassicales; Caricaceae
Description: long non-coding RNA (CPAP_LNC010143)
Source: RNAcentral